CGCUGUUGGCGUGGAUAAGACAUGCAAGUCGAGCGUUGCAGCAAUGUAGCCGUGGGAGCGGCGCAAGGGUGCGUCAACACGUGGGUAUUUGCCAAAAAGUUUGGGAUCACUCGCUGAAAGGCGAGCUAAUACCGGAUGUGGCGGCAUCGUUAAAGUUGGGGACCGUAAGGCCUGACGCUUUUUGAUAAGCCCGCGGCCUAUCAGCUAGUUGGUGAGGUAACGGCUCACCAAGGCUAAGACGGGUAGCUGGUCUGGAGGACGACCAGCCACACUGGAACUGAGACACGGUCCAGACACCUACGGGUGGCAGCAGUCGAGAAUUUUUCACAAUGGGCGAAGGCCUGAUGGAGCGACGCCGCGUGGGGGAUGAAUGGCUUCGGCCCGUAAACCCCUGUCAUUUGCGAACAAAUUGCUAUUUAAAAGAUGGCGAGCUGAUUGUAGCGAAAGAGGCAGGGACGGCUAACUCUGUGCCAGCAGCCGCGGUAAUACAGAGGUCCCAAGCGUUGUUCGGCAUCACUGGGCGUAAAGGGUGCGUAGGUGGUGAGGUAAGUCGGAUGUGAAAGCUCCGAGCUCAACUCGGAAAUGGCAUUGGAAACUACCUUGCUCGAGGGUUUGAGGGGGGACUGGAAUACUUGGUGUAGCAGUGAAAUGCGUAGAUAUCAAGUAGAACACCAGUGGCGCAGGCGAGUCCCUGGAAAACUCCUGACACUGAGGCACGAAAGCUGGGGAGCAAACAGGAUUAGAUACCCUGGUAGUCCUAGCCGUAAACGGUGCGUAUCAGCUGUAAAAGGAUCGACCUUUUGUGCCGAGCUAACGCGUUAAACGAGCCGCCUGGGAAGUACGGUCGCAAGAUUAAAACUCAAAGAAAUUGACGGGGACCCGCACCAGCGGUGGAGUAUGUGGCUUAAUUCGAUGCAACGCGAAGAACCUUACCUGGGCUUGACAUGAUCGCAAGCGUGUGAAAGCACGUGAGUCCGCAAGGCACUUUGCACAGGUGCUGCAUGGCUGUCGUCAGCUCGUGUCGUGAGAUGUUGGGUUAAGUCCCGCAACGAGCGCAACCCCUGUGGCUUGUUACCAUCGUACCGGGGACUCUAGCCAGACUGCCUAGAUCAACUAGGAGGAAGGUGGGGACGACGUCAAGUCAGUAUGGCCCUUACGCCCAGGGCUGCACACGUACUACAAUGCCCAGCACAGCGUGUCCAAACCCGCGAGGGGGAGGAAAUCCUAAAACUGGGCUCAAUUCGGAUUGCAGGCUGCAACUCGCCUGCAUGAAGCCGGAAUCGCUAGUAAUGGCGCAUCAGCACGGCGCCGUGAUCAUGG
Molecule: ribosomal RNA, 1320 nt
Filed under: uncultured bacterium
Lineage: Bacteria
Description: bacterial SSU rRNA
Rfam family: Bacterial small subunit ribosomal RNA
Source: RNAcentral